UUUUUCCGUAGGGUGAACCUGCGGAAGGAUCAUUACCACACUUUAAAAAACUGUCCACGUGAACUGUAAGCAAGUCUAGCGCUGUGACUGAGCUGGUGUUUUCAUUUUUGGACACUGGAACGGGAGUCAGCAGGACGAAGGUUGGUCUGUUGUAAUGCAAGUUAUGAUGGACUAGCUGAUGAACUUUUGUUUUUAAACCCUUACCUAAAUACUGAUUUAUACUGUGGGGACGAAAGUCCUUGCUUUUACUAGAUAACAACUUUCAGCAGUGGAUGUCUAGGCUCGCACAUCGAUGAAGAACGCUGCGAACUGCGAUACGUAAUGCGAAUUGCAGAAUUCAGUGAGUCAUCGAAAUUUUGAACGCAUAUUGCACUUUCGGGUUAUGCCUGGAAGUAUGUCUGUAUCAGUGUCCGUAAAUCAAACUUGCCUUUCUUUUUCUGUGUAGUCAGGGAUGGAAUGUGCAGAUGUGAAGUGUCUCGCAUGGUUGCGUUCGUUUUUUCGAUCGAGAAUCUGUCGAGUCCUUUUAAAUGGACACGGUCUUUUCUAUGGUUUCUAUGAAGUGUAAUGGUUGGAAGGCAGUGAUUUUCGGAUUGCUGGCGGCUUUUGGCGACUUCGGUAUGAACGUAUGGAGACUAGCUCAAUUCGUGGUAUGUUAGGCUUCGGCUCGACAAUGUUGCGUAAUUGUGUGUGGUCUUUGUUUGUGCCUUGAGGUGUACUAGAGGUUGUCGGUUUGAACCGUAAGUGAUUGUUUAGUAGAGCAUUUUCACGAUGUAUGGAGACGCUGCAUUUAGUUGCGUAGAGAGAUUGAUUUGGGAAAUUUUGUAUCAUUGUCAAUUGCAAGAUUGUGUAUGGUAUCUCAAUGGACCUGAUAUCAGACAAGACACCCCCUUUCCC
RNAcentral lists this non-coding RNA (894 nucleotides) under Globisporangium ultimum. Its description in RNAcentral is "sequence contains 18S rRNA gene, ITS1, 5.8S rRNA gene, ITS2 and 28S rRNA gene". The stretch from base 258 to 412 matches the Rfam family "5.8S ribosomal RNA". Lineage: Eukaryota; Oomycota; Peronosporomycetes; Pythiales; Pythiaceae. The record is from RNAcentral.